UACGUAGGGGGCAAGCGUUGUCCGGAAUCAUUGGGCGUAAAGAGCGUGUAGGCGGCCUGGUAAGUCCGCUGUGAAAGUCCAGGGCUCAACCCUGGAAUGCCGGUGGAAACUGUCAGGCUCGAGUCCGGAAGAGGCGAGUGGAAUUCCUGGUGUAGCGGUGAAAUGCGCAGAUAUCAGGAAGAACGCCCGUGGCUAAGGCGGUUCUCUAGUACGGUACUGACGCUGAGACGCGAAAGCGUGGGGAGCGAACAGG
This 253-nucleotide ribosomal RNA is filed under the name uncultured bacterium. Its description in RNAcentral is "partial 16S ribosomal RNA". It matches the Rfam family "Bacterial small subunit ribosomal RNA", at positions 524 to 776 of the family's 1533-position model. The record is from RNAcentral.